GCCGGAGUGGUGAAAUCGGUAGACGCACUGGACUCAAAAUCCAGCGGGCCCUAGGCCCAUGUCGGUUCGAGUCCGACCUCCGGCA
RNAcentral lists this transfer RNA (85 nucleotides) under Candidatus Poribacteria bacterium. RNAcentral's name for it is "tRNA-Leu". It matches the Rfam family "tRNA". Rfam says of the family: Transfer RNA (tRNA) molecules are approximately 80 nucleotides in length. Lineage: Bacteria; Candidatus Poribacteria. The record is from RNAcentral.